This 398-nucleotide ribosomal RNA is filed under the name uncultured bacterium. Its description in RNAcentral is "partial 16S ribosomal RNA". It matches the Rfam family "Bacterial small subunit ribosomal RNA", at positions 523 to 918 of the family's 1533-position model. The record is from RNAcentral.
AUACGUAGGGUGCGAGCGUUGUCCGGAAUUACUGGGCGUAAAGAGCUCGUAGGUGGUUUGUCGCGUCGUCUGUGAAAUUCCGGGGCUUAACUCCGGGCGUGCAGGCGAUACGGGCAUAACUUGAGUACUGUAGGGGAGACUGGAAUUCCUGGUGUAGCGGUGAAAUGCGCAGAUAUCAGGAGGAACACCGGUGGCGAAGGCGGGUCUCGGGGCAGUAACUGACGCUGAGGAGCGAAAGCAUGGGUAGCGAACAGGAUUAGAUACCCUGGUAGUCCAUGCCGUAAACGGUGGGCGCUAGGUGUAGGGGUCUUCCACGACUUCUGUGCCGUAGCUAACGCCUUAAGCGCCCCGCCUGGGGAGUACGGCCGCAAGGCUAAAACUCAAAUGAAUUGACGGGG